GAUGAACGCUAGCUACAGGCUUAACACAUGCAAGUCGAGGGGCAGCAUGGUCUUAGCUCGCUAAGGCCGAUGGCGACCGGCGCACGGGUGAGUAACGCGUAUCCAACCUGCCUUACACUCUUGGACAGCCUUCUGAAAGGGAGAUUAAUACAAGAUGUUAUCAUGAGUAAGCAUUUUCGCAUGAUUAAAGGUUUACCGGUGUAAGAUGGGGAUGCGUUCCAUUAGAUAGUAGGCGGGGUAACGGCCCACCUAGUCUUCGAUGGAUAGGGGUUCUGAGAGGAAGGUCCCCCACAUUGGAACUGAGACACGGUCCAAACUCCUACGGGAGGCAGCAGUGAGGAAUAUUGGUCAAUGGACGAGAGUCUGAACCAGCCAAGUAGCGUGAAGGAUGAAGGUUCUAUGGAUUGUAAACUUCUUUUAUACGGGAAUAAACGGAUCCACGUGUGGAUUUUUGCAUGUACCGUAUGAAUAAGGAUCGGCUAACUCCGUGCCAGCAGCCGCGGUAAUACGGAGGAUCCGAGCGUUAUCCGGAUUUAUUGGGUUUAAAGGGAGCGUAGAUGGGUUGUUAAGUCAGUUGUGAAAGUUUGCGGCUCAACCGUAAAAUUGCAAUUGAUACUGGCAGUCUUGAGUACAGUUGAGGUAGGCGGAAUUCGUGGUGUAGCGGUGAAAUGCUUAGAUAUCACGAAGAACUCCGAUUGCGAAGGCAGCUUACUAACCUGUAACUGACAUUGAUGCUCGAAAGUGUGGGUAUCAAACAGGAUUAGAUACCCUGGUAGUCCACACGGUAAACGAUGAAUACUCGCUGUAGGCGAUAUACAGUCUGCGGCCAAGCGAAAGCAUUAAGUAUUCCACCUGGGGAGUACGCCGGCAACGGUGAAACUCAAAGGAAUUGACGGGGGCCCGCACAAGCGGAGGAACAUGUGGUUUAAUUCGAUGAUACGCGAGGAACCUUACCCGGGCUUAAAUUGCAACCGAAUAUGGCGGAAACGCUAUAGCUAGCAAUAGCGGUUGUGAAGGUGCUGCAUGGUUGUCGUCAGCUCGUGCCGUGAGGUGUCGGCUUAAGUGCCAUAACGAGCGCAACCCUUGCCGAUAGUUACUAACAGGUUAUGCUGAGGACUCUGUCGGGACUGCCAUCGUAAGAUGUGAGGAAGGUGGGGAUGACGUCAAAUCAGCACGGCCCUUACGUCCGGGGCUACACACGUGCUACAAUGGGGGGUACAGAGGGCUGCUACCACGCAAGUGGAUGCCAAUCCCAAAAACCUCUCUCAGUUCGGAUUGAAGUCUGCAACCCGACUUCAUGAAGCUGGAUUCGCUAGUAAUCGCGCAUCAGCCACGGCGCGGUGAAUACGUUCCCGGGCCU
This 1360-nucleotide ribosomal RNA is filed under the name uncultured bacterium. Its description in RNAcentral is "bacterial SSU rRNA". It matches the Rfam family "Bacterial small subunit ribosomal RNA", at positions 28 to 1381 of the family's 1533-position model. The record is from RNAcentral.